Molecule: long non-coding RNA, 2198 nt
Filed under: Columba livia (rock pigeon)
Lineage: Eukaryota; Metazoa; Chordata; Aves; Columbiformes; Columbidae
Description: partial uncharacterized LOC102092662, transcript variant X2
Source: RNAcentral
GGCCAGCCCGGGGAGGAAGAUGGAGGAGCCGCGGCCGGGCGGGCACCGCGGCCGUGCCAGGAGCGCGGCGGAGGGGCUGCUCUUGAUGGGUGGAAAACACCGCUUCUCGCUCUCCUCACGGCAUGGAAAAUACCGAAACACGCUUUAGGAGAAAAAAAUAACACAGCAACAACCCCCAAACAGCUGAGGAUUGAUGUAUCUUCAGGGAAGAAGCCGUCGCCGCUCGCCUGGCUCCUCACGACAACCUGCCCGCCAUUUGCUUAAUUAAAAGCAUAUACUUGAUGUGAUCAGAUGUGGUAAUACCGUAAAAAAAAAAACCCAAACCAAACCAAAAUACCCCGUAACAUCCAAACGCUCGUUGUUGGAGGCUGCAGCCAAGCUCGGCUGCUUAUUCCAGAAGUUUCUACAGGGGAGGGAGCACCCACUGCGGAGCCUUUGCCGCAGCGCCGGGAGGAGAUGCCGAGGAUGCGCCACCUCUCCCCUUCCCAAGCCUCCCCCCUUCGCUCGAUUUUCCCCAUCCUUGGGAAAAAAACGCUGCUGGGAGAUGCCGAUUGUUCUGCUGCAUCCUGAGAACUGGGCUGUACAGAGGACCGCGCCGCCUUGCCGGAGCGGAGCUGUGGACUCGCUUGCUGCUCAGUAAACAUCUGCUUAUAGAUCUUUAUUUCUUUGAUUAUCUUUUUCUAAUUCAUUACCUUUUUGCAGUCCCCAAGCGACCUCCUUUAGUGCUGGCUCCGCUGUGGUUUGACCGCAGCUUCGCGUUAAAGCGCUAAUGUGUCUAAUGACCUUGCUUGGGGACCGGGCCCACCGGGCUGCUGCGGAUGCUCCGUUUCCAUUACAGAACCCCACACGCCGUGUAUUCCCAUUUUUCCAACGCAUCCUUCCCUCGCCUGGGAAUGUUGCAAUAUUAUAGUGUCUUCUGCCUUAUUUUUUGUCCUUUUUCCCCCCCUCUUUCCUAGGGAUACACAGGAUUGUGUAACCCACGGCAGAUGUAACCAUCUCAGAGCUGUCUGGGCAGUCGGAUCUGGCCUUGCUGAGACACGGGUUGUGUAAGUGGCGUGUUGUACGCAGGCCACAAAACCCCACAACAUUUCAGUGGUUACGUCUGUCUGGGAGAGCGUGAGUAGGUCCCAGGGCUUCCCCUUCCCACCGCUUUGCCGGUUCACAAAACGAGAGGCUGAUGCUUCUGGAAAAAGCUCUGCCUUGUGGCCUUUAAAAAAAAAAAACCUGCUGUGGAUUAGUCAUCCUUGUUUUUAAAGGAAGCUGCGUUUGCCAGCCCUGGCCGUGUAACGCGUGUGUGUUAUCAGCCAUUGGGUUUAUUUGCUGGUAAGGUGCUGGGCUCUCUGGGGCGGCGCCACCGCGGCUCCUUCGAGCUGUUCCCGGCGGGUGGAAGAGCCACCACGGUCCAGCUUUUCAUGCCCUUCCCUCCGUUCUCUUGUUUUUCAGCGCUGGAAAUGUGGAGAACGCACCAAACGCACGUGGGGACAGACAAACGUAUUCUGGGGUCACUUCAACUCUGGAGGAGAAGCCCUGGGAUGUGUUGGUUUGGAGAUGCUCCUUGUGCUCACCGGAGGUACCAAGAAGCUGCUUGUUGGGGAUGUUUCCACGUUUUUGAGGUUGGCAACACCCCGUGGGACUCGGAAUUAACUUUUCUUUGGUAGUCGAGGACAAACGAGUGAGAAUCACCUUGGGAGCGCUGAACUUUUACCCCCCUCUCCUUCGGACUGAAGAGCUUCUAGAACUACAUCGGUGAGGCUUCCAAGUUAAACAAAACCUGAAUUCCCGCUGCCAAAAAGCAAGCGAGCGAUAGAAACCUCCACAUCUCCUCCGUGAGGGGGGACACCGCGGUCUCCCGAGAUUAUUCUGGUAUCCCCAAGAGUUAAAAAUGCUGCAUCGUGAGACCUGCGGAGGUCAAACGAAAGCCAGAGCUCACCGAGAAACUCUUCUCCGUAUCGCUCAAGGGGUUUUUGAGCAUAGCAGGUCUCCACGCACCAUUAUUUUUGUGUCUUUGUCAGGACCAAAGGAGCGAUAAUAGUGUGUUCAGUCUGCUUUGUUUAAAACACCGUCGAGUUGCUUUGCUAUCAAAAUGGUGUCUGGUGAAAGAAAAGCUCUGGUGGUGGCUGGCUCGGUGGUUAUUUUGUGCCAACCGAUCCCUCGUGGCUUUGGGCUGUGGGUUCGUGUUAAACCCUUGUCCUCCAGCG